AAAAAGACAAACCAUGGGUUUUCGUGUCUAAUAUUUGACUGUCCGUCUUAUAUGAAUUUUUUUAUAAUUAGUAUUUUUAUUGUUGUUAGAUGAUAAAACAUGAUUAAUACUUUAUGCGUGACUUGUCUUUUAAAUUUUUUCCAUAAUUUUUUCAAAUAAGACAGACGGUCAAACGUUGGACACGGAAACCCAGGGUU
RNAcentral lists this microRNA precursor (197 nucleotides) under Oryza barthii. RNAcentral's name for it is "MIR812 microRNA precursor family". It matches the Rfam family "MIR812 microRNA precursor family". The record is from Rfam by way of RNAcentral. Lineage: Eukaryota; Viridiplantae; Streptophyta; Magnoliopsida; Poales; Poaceae.